AUGGCCGGGGACUUCAAUGAAAUUCUGCAUGCACACGAAAAAGAAGGGGGUGCAGCCCGAUCACAACGGUGCAUGCAAGCUUUUAGUGACACCCUACGUGACUAUAAUCUUGAUGAUUUGGGUUACUCAGGAGACAUAUUCAGUUGGCGCAGAGGUCGUAUUCGUGAGAGGCUGGAUAGGGCAAUGGGAAAUAGCUCUUGGGCCGACCUUUUCCCUUGCUUUGGAGUCUCAAAUGAACCGUUCAAUAAAUCUGAUCAUCGUCCUAUACUGAUCGACACUGACUAUCAGUUGGGGCUGCAGCCGAGGGGUCCAAUGAGACCAAGAAAAUUUGAAGCAAGAUGGCUUGCUGAAGAGGACGUGGACACUAUUGUGCAGGAGGCUUGGGAGAGGGCAAAAUCACUAGGCAUCGAGCCGUUCUCACAAGUGACUAGUGAUGUUCAUCUUGCCUUACACAGAUGGGACAAAGAAACUUUGAAAGGUCCACGGACGAGACUACGAGAACUCCAGAAAAAACUAAAUGAGGUAAUGUCGGGGCCGCUAUCGGAUGAGGCAGUUGCUCAACAACAUGACCUACAUCUGCAUAUUGAAAACCUCCUUGAACAGGAGGAGAUUUACUGGAUGCAACGAGGCCGCGCAGAUUGGCUUUGUCGUGGGGAUCAGAAUACUGAUUUCUUCCACCGCGCGGCAACAGGGAGAUGA
RNAcentral lists this ribosomal RNA (699 nucleotides) under Triticum aestivum (bread wheat). Its description in RNAcentral is "partial small subunit ribosomal RNA". The record is from RNAcentral. Lineage: Eukaryota; Viridiplantae; Streptophyta; Magnoliopsida; Poales; Poaceae.